Molecule: long non-coding RNA, 1354 nt
Organism: Oreochromis niloticus (Nile tilapia)
Lineage: Eukaryota; Metazoa; Chordata; Actinopteri; Cichliformes; Cichlidae
Exons: 4
Source: RefSeq, a predicted model, not a curated record
UGAGUACAUGCAACUUCAAGUUAUCUCUGUUAUAAAAAUCCACCAGCCCAGCGUUUAUAGAUAAUUUUAGCAGUUCGUUUUUUAUGAGUGAGGUUGUGAAUUUAGUUAGCAUUUGUGAGUUGAGUUAGCAUUACUGUCGCGAGGGAAGCAUUGCUCUGGAUUAGUUUCUGUGUUUGGCGUGCUUAAUUUGCUAGGGAGGAAUUACCAAAGUACAUGGAGUUAUGUUAACCUGUAAUUUCUGUGGUAAGGUAGUUCAGUCAUCAAGGGGCUACGUGCUUCAUUGUAAACUGCAUUGGAAUGAGCCACGUUGUUUCUUUCGGUGUAUUGAAGCAGGCUGCAAGCAGACAUACACCGGGUAUGGCGUGUUUAAGGCUCAUUUUUACCGAAGACACUCUGCCCCCACCCAUGUCACUGGUGUGGCGGUGGUUUCUUCGUUUACAUGUGCAAUGGCGAUGUGUGAACGUCAGUGUCAGAACUCUCUCUUUAUGAUUAAAAAGGUUUGUUUUGUUCCUGCCCUUUUCAGACACUGAAUUUGAGCAGAAACCAUAAGGAUACUCAAAGGACCUGUGACUCUCAGGAAAUGCAUCAAAUGAGAGGGACAGAUGAAACAGUUUCAAGACAAUGGCAGGAAAAACAUGCUGAAGAUUGAAACAAACCUUGGCUGGAAAUAUUUGAAGGUAUCUAGCCAGUCCACAAUAAAAGCUUCGUUGCACCCCAUGAGUCUUCUGGCAGAAAUGAUGGCGCCUGUAUUCUUUGGUUUCCCUAAACAUCACACCCUGCCUGUUUAUACGAGGCUCUUCAAUUAAGUCUGCACCCAAAGAUUCAAUAAGAGAGGGGAUCCUGCCAGUCCAAAGUGAACUCCUGAUGGACAUUGAAGUACUCCUGCAGAGCUUGUAUCUUCGACACCAUGUGCAUUAGAAACUCCACUGAGUCCUUUCCUUCACCAAGGCAGGACCCAGUGACUCAUUACUGUUGAUAGGUCAGGGGCAGGUAAUAUUUUGUUUCAUGUUUAUUCAUUCCUCCAUGGAUUACCAGCCAUAUAUAUGGACACAUGCUGUAUUCUCAAGAUCUAUGCUGUUUUGUAGGAAUAGAGAAAAUGAUAUGUUUAGUCUGUUUUCAAAUGGUAUGUCAAAUUUUCUCAUUGUUUAUCAGUAAUAUUCACUACCUUGGUUAUAUAUGAGCAUCUUUAGAUUUUUCUAUAUUUAGCGGUUGCAAAUGUAAAAUGUACGGUAAACCAUUUAUGUUCCUCAUAUUGUACUGUAUUUUUAGCGGUAAAAUACCGGCAGCUGUGGUUGCCAGGAAUUUACCGUAAAAUGUAUCUGGUCAAAAUAAAAUGCUGUAAUUUGUUAUACAA